This is a long non-coding RNA of Ailuropoda melanoleuca (giant panda), 2105 nucleotides long. RefSeq lists it as uncharacterized. Lineage: Eukaryota; Metazoa; Chordata; Mammalia; Carnivora; Ursidae. The record is from RefSeq and is a predicted model, not a curated record. The transcript is spliced from 3 exons.
CUCAACUACAAUCAACAGACCACAGACUUUGUGUGAUGCUGGGGUGACAUCUAAGGAAGGGCCUUUCCAAUGAUAGGGGGCUGAUUCCAGAACUCCCUGCUCAGUGGACUUUUUGUGUGAAUUGAGGUGGUCGGUCCGAAAUUGCGACACCAGUAGGAUUAUACUUGUGGGUUACUGCUUAUUCUGUUUUUGUUGAUUUCACAGACUUCAAACCCACUUCACUGCCAUGGCCUCUGGUUCCUGAUUCUGUUGUUUUCAUACUGAAGCUAGUACCGUCUGGGAUGUUCAGCUACAUUAUUUUGCAUUAAACUUCCCAAGGGUUCUAUAUCCACAAAGGUGCUCUAUGCCUGAGAUGCGACUCCAAAGAAUCACUGAGUGGGCAGACUUUUGUAAGCCAACUACCCAACUACCUUGCCCGCCAUCUUGCCCAGAACCACGGCAGUUGGACUGCCCUGAACCCAGCAGCAAAGCACAGAGCAAGUGGAACGAUAUCUGCUUUCCUUAGUCUUUGCCUACUGAAAAUGACAUCUUACCCUGCCGCUUCCUGCCCUUUGGGAGACUUGAAGCCUUUGCUGCAAACUCUGGGGCCUUGCUAUAACGCACCUGCCGCUGCAGCCACAGAGUUCAGGAUAACAUCGGUUCAUCGUGGGCUCCACCUAAGGGAGUUGAGCUAGCAGAUGAGGCCGCGGGGCUGGGCUUGCCCUUCUGCACCACGGGCAUGAGGAACGAAGUGGUGGCCAGGACGGGUGCCCCGUGAGUCAAGCUGUGGAUUUUCAAACACCCUUGGUUUUCUGUGUCCCUGGUUUCCCACAGAGAUCCCCAUGAGGAAAGAUGCCUGCCUGCUUUUUGAGCUCUCUGGAUCUUCCCAUUAGAUAGCUUCUCUUGGCAUCUGAAAGGCAGCCUGCCAUUCUGUUCUCCUGUGGAAUACAGAUGGCCCAGCCCACGCCUCUCACUAAUGAGGAGCACAUGCAGAGCCUUCUUGCUGGAGGCUCCCUUCAACAACACCAGCCCUCCUUCCCCGUGCAGGCCAGUCACCGUUGACCACGGCAUUUACGGCUGAGAAGGCUGCUUGCUGCUCUCCCACUCACAGAGUUGAACAGAAAAUCUAUCGGGGAGCCCUGGGAAAUGAGUCCCAUUCCACUAGAAUCUGAAACAUUGAAGAUGAAGCUUGGGCUGCCCAUUUGAUCGCAAAGUUGAGGUUUGGGGUUCCAGCUGUCCACAGAGGCUGCUGAGUUUAAAUGUGAGCGAACACUGGAAGUUCUUCAGUAGGAACCUGACGAGACGCUGUACAGAGGUGGGCCUGACAGGUCAAUCUGCCAAUGCUGUGAAACCCUCACUAGGGUUGGGAACUGACGAGAAUGUUAAAAGCACUAAAGUAUAGUAGAAAAAGCAUACAUUUUUGGUGAGACAGGUGCACGUCAAGUCUUAGCUGUUACUACUUCCUACCUUUUUGACCUUGGACAAGGUAUUUCACCCUUCUAUGCACUAAUUCCUUUAUCUGUGAAAAAAGCACAAUGCCCAUGUCAUAGGCUGUUCUGAGGAUUAAAUGGGACAGCACAUGAAAAGACCUUAACAUGGUGCCUUGUACCCAGUAAGCAAUAAAUGGGAAUUUCCUUUUCUUUCUCCUUUUCUUGUUUUCUCUCUCUAGUAGAAAGUUGAAAGACAUACUCCAGCACGAUGGGACAUCAAGGUGUGCUACAAACAAUGGCUCCAUGUGAAUUUCUAUACAAUUCUGCUCUCUUGUUUUAUCUAAAACUUGAUUCAUUUUUGAGACGUGGGAUGGUUUCUUUUUUCCUCGUUAUUGCAAGUCAGAUGCAGGUCUGAUAUUUGUGACUGCAAGAGUUCCACACUGCCAAUACGGACCCCAAUAGAAAGGCAGAACCCCUUUUGGUUUAAAGACUGUAACUCAUUCCUUUAACUCUCCAAGCUACUGAGGGGAGAUCACCAUCACUAGCUGUCUGCAGAGGAUGUCAACAAUUCUGGUCAAUCCUGCCAUGUAUUAGGUGUGGUCUAACUGUUAGUACCCACUGAUCCAGAAAUCUCUCUGGGAGUCAUUUUCAUUCUUUCAGAAAACAAGGGACACUGAGGUAUGCUGUUCUCAAGGA